RNAcentral lists this ribosomal RNA (465 nucleotides) under Vreelandella stevensii. RNAcentral's name for it is "partial 16S ribosomal RNA". It matches the Rfam family "Bacterial small subunit ribosomal RNA", at positions 338 to 795 of the family's 1533-position model. The record is from RNAcentral. Lineage: Bacteria; Pseudomonadati; Pseudomonadota; Gammaproteobacteria; Oceanospirillales; Halomonadaceae.
CCUACGGGCGGCAGCAGUGGGGAAUAUUGGACAAUGGGGGGAACCCUGAUCCAGCCAUGCCGCGUGUGUGAAGAAGGCCCUCGGGUUGUAAAGCACUUUCAGUGAGGAAGAACGCCUGGUGGUUAAUACCCAUCAGGAAAGACAUCACUCACAGAAGAAGCACCGGCUAACUCCGUGCCAGCAGCCGCGGUAAUACGGAGGGUGCGAGCGUUAAUCGGAAUUACUGGGCGUAAAGCGCGCGUAGGUGGCUUGAUAAGCCGGUUGUGAAAGCCCCGGGCUCAACCUGGGAACGGCAUCCGGAACUGUCAAGCUAGAGUGCAGGAGAGGAAGGUAGAAUUCCCGGUGUAGCGGUGAAAUGCGUAGAGAUCGGGAGGAAUACCAGUGGCGAAGGCGGCCUUCUGGACUGAAACUGACACUGAGGUGCGAAAGCGUGGGUAGCAAACAGGAUUAGAUACCCUUGUAGUC